RNAcentral lists this ribosomal RNA (488 nucleotides) under uncultured bacterium. RNAcentral's name for it is "bacterial SSU rRNA". It matches the Rfam family "Bacterial small subunit ribosomal RNA", at positions 21 to 507 of the family's 1533-position model. The record is from RNAcentral.
GGCUCAGGAUGAACGCUAGCGGAGGCCUAAUACAUGCAAGUCGAACGGGUGAAUUAGCUUCGGUUGGUUCACUAGUGGCGCACGGGUGAGUAACGCGUACGCAAUCUGCCCUAUGCUGGGGAAUAGCCCUGGGAAACUGGGAGUAAUACGCCAUAGUUCUACGGAUCUGCAUGGAUUUGUAGAUAAAGCUGCGGCGGCACAGGAUGAGCGUGCGUCUGAUUAGGUAGUUGGUGAGGUAACGGCUCACCAAGCCGACGAUCAGUAAGGGGCGUGAGAGCGUGGCCCCUCACACGGGUACUGAGACACGGACCCGACUCCUACGGGAGGCAGCAGUAAGGAAUAUUGGACAAUGGGCGCAAGCCUGAUCCAGCCAUCCCGCGUGCUUGAUGAAGGCCCUCUGGGUUGUAAAGAGCUUUAGUCUGGGAAGAAACCGUUUUCUGCGGAAGACGCUGACGGUACCAGAAGAAUAAGCACCGGCUAACUCCGUG